UAAAAUAAUUAAGGGCACACAAAGGAUGCCUUGGUAGUAAGAGCCGAUGAAGGACGUGGUAAGCUGCGAUAAGCCUAGAUAAGUUGCAAUCGAACGUAAGAGUCUAGGAUUUCCGAAUGGAGCAAUCUAUUAAGAUGGAGUCUUAAUACGAAAGAGGGAACCGCGUGAACUGAAACAUCUAAGUAACGCGAGGAAAAGAAAGUAAAAACGAUACCCAAAGUAGCGGCGAGCGAAAUGGGUCAAGCCUAAACCUUAAAUAUGUCAAGGAUACAGCCGUUGUAUUUAAGGGGUUGAGGGACAGAGUGAUGAAGAACUGUAAGAUAUUCAAUAUAGUGUAUUGAUGAACUAGAAUAGUCUGGAAAGGUUAACCGUAGAAGGUGAAAGUCCUGUAUAGGUAAAUCCUUACACAUAUAACUUUGAUCCCAAGUAACAUGGAACACGAGGAAUUCUGUGUGAAUCAGUGAGGACCAUAUCUCAUAAGGCUAAAUACUCUUACUAACCGAUAGCGCAUAGUACCGUGAGGGAAAGGUGAAAAGAACCCCUGGAGGGGAGUGAAAUAGAACCUGAAAUUGUGUGCUUACAAGCGGUCAGAGCCAGUAAUGGUGAUGGCGUGCCUUUUGGAGAAUGAUCCUGCGAGUUACGUUAAACGGCAAGGUUAAGUAUUACGGAGCCGAAGGGAAACCAAGUCUUAAUAGGGCGAUUUAGUCGUUUGGCGUAGACGCGAAACCUGGUGAUCUAAACCUGUCCAGGAUGAAGCUGUGGUAAGACACAGUGGAGGUCCUAACCCACCGCCGUUGAAAAGUUGGGGGAUGAGGUAGGUUUAGGGGUGAAAAGCCAAUCGAACCAGGAGAUAGCUCGUUCUCUCCGAAAUGCAUCUAGGUGCAGCCUUGAGUGUUCAAUUAUGGGGGUAGAGCACUGAAUGAUCUAGGGGGCAUAUUGCUUACUGAAAUCAAUCAAACUCCGAAUACCAUAAUUUAUAGCUCAGGAGUGAGACUAUGGGAGUUAACUUCCAUUGUCAAAAGGGAAACAACCCAGACCACCAGCUAAGGUCCCUAAUUAUAACUAAGUGGGAAAGGAGGUGGAGAUUCACAAACAACUAGGAGGUUGGCUUAGAAGCAGCCAUACCUUUAAAGAGUGCGUAAUAGCUCACUAGUCGAGAGUCUCUGCGCCGACAAUGUAACGGGGCUAAGUUAUAAACCGAAGCUGUGGAAUCCGUAAGGAUUGGUAGGAGAGCGUUCUGUAGGCCGUUGAAGGAGAAGGGUAACCGACUUUGGAGGUAUCAGAAGUGAGAAUGCAGGAAUAAGUAGCGAGAAAGGGGGCGAGAAUCCCCCUCGCCGGAAGACCAAGGUUUUCAGGGUAAAGCUUGUCUUCCCUGAGUAAGCCGGGACCUAAGCCCAGGCUAUAAUGCGUAGGCGAAUGGAAAACAGAUUAAUAUUUCUGUGCCAGUCAUAUAUUGUGAUGGAGGGACGCAGAAGGGUAUGCGCGCGGACGAACGGAAGUGUCCGUAGAAGUAUGUAGGAUGACUUAGUAGGAAAAUCCAUUAAGUUAUAUCUGAGGUAUGAUAUAUAGUCGUAAGAUGAAUGCGCAAAUCCCACGCUGCCAAGAAAAGCUUCUAACGUUAAUUUAUGACUGCCCGUACUGCAAACCGACACAGGUGGUCAGGAUGAGAAAUCUAAGGCGGACAGGCUAACUCUCGUUAAGGAACUCUGCAAAAUAACCUCGUAACUUCGGGAGAAGAGGAGCCCUUGGGUGUUAGUAUCCACGCGAUACAAAGCGCUCGAGGGUCGCAGUGAAGAGGCUCAAGCAACUGUUUAACAAAAACACAGGUCUAUGCUAAGCUGGAAGGCGAUGUAUAUGGGCUGACACCUGCCCAGUGCUGGAAGGUUAAGAGGAGGAGUGAGAGCUCCGAAUUGAAGCCCCAGUGAACGGCGGCCGUAACUAUAACGGUCCUAAGGUAGCGAAAUUCCUUGUCGGGUAAGUUCCGACCUGCACGAAUGGUGUAAUGAUUUGAGCGCUGUCUUGACGGGAGGCCUGGUGAAAUUGUAUUACCGGUGAAGAUACCGGUUACCUACAGUAGGACGGAAAGACCCCAUGGAGCUUUACUGUAGCUUGGUAUUGGGUUUUGGCAUUGCAUGUAUAGGAUAGUUGGGAGACUGAGAUGAUAUGGCGCUAGCUGUAUCGGAGUCAUCGGUGGAAUACCAACCAUUCAAUGCUGAAAUUCUAAUCUGUGGUUUGUAGCCACGGAGACAGUGCUAGGUGGGCAGUUUGACUGGGGCGGUCGCCUCCGAAAGAGUAACGGAGGCGUUCAAAGGUUCUCUCAGGUUGGAUGGAAAUCAACCAUAGAGUGCAAUGGCAUAAGAGAGCUUGACUGCAAGACUGACGGGUCGAGCAGAUGCGAAAGCAGGACAUAGUGAUCCGGUGGUUCUGUAUGGAAGGGCCAUCGCUCAACGGAUAAAAGGUACUCCGGGGAUAACAGGCUGAUUCCGCCCAAGAGUUCAUAUCGACGGCGGAGUUUGGCACCUCGAUGUCGGCUCAUCGCAUCCUGGGGCUGGAGAAGGUCCCAAGGGUUGGGCUGUUCGCCCAUUAAAGCGGUACGUGAGCUGGGUUCAGAACGUCGUGAGACAGUUCGGUCCCUAUCCACUGUAGGCGUUAGAAUAUUGAGAAGACCUGUCCUUAGUACGAGAGGACCGGGAUGGACAAACCUCUGAUGUACCAGUUGUCACGCCAGUGGCACAGCUGGGUAGUCACGUUUGGAAUAGAUAACCGCUGAAAGCAUCUAAGCGGGAAACUAACUUCAAGAUAAGUAUUCUUUAAGAUACCUUCGAGCCUAGGAGGUUGAUAGGUUGGGGGUGUAAGUACAGCAAUGUAUUUAGCUGACCAAUACUAAUUAUCGAAGUUUUAAUCUA
Molecule: ribosomal RNA, 2906 nt
Filed under: human oral metagenome
Description: bacterial LSU rRNA
Rfam family: Bacterial large subunit ribosomal RNA
Source: RNAcentral